UACGUAGGGUGCAAGCGUUAAUCGGAAUUACUGGGCGUAAAGCGUGCGCAGGCGGUUUUGUAAGACCGAUGUGAAAUCCCCGGGCUCAACCUGGGAACUGCAUUGGUGACUGCAAGGCUUGAGUGUGUCAGAGGGAGGUGGAAUUCCGCGUGUAGCAGUGAAAUGCGUAGAUAUGCGGAGGAACACCGAUGGCGAAGGCGGCACUCUGGGCCAGUACUGACACUGAGGAGCGAAAGCGUGGGGAGCGAACAGG
This 253-nucleotide ribosomal RNA is filed under the name uncultured bacterium. Its description in RNAcentral is "partial 16S ribosomal RNA". It matches the Rfam family "Bacterial small subunit ribosomal RNA", at positions 524 to 776 of the family's 1533-position model. The record is from RNAcentral.